This 301-nucleotide ribosomal RNA is filed under the name uncultured bacterium. RNAcentral's name for it is "partial 16S ribosomal RNA". It matches the Rfam family "Bacterial small subunit ribosomal RNA", at positions 509 to 809 of the family's 1533-position model. The record is from RNAcentral.
CAGUAGCCGCGGGAAUACGAAGGGGGCUAGCGUUGUUCGGAUUUACUGGGCGUAAAGCGCACGUAGGCGGAUCGAUCAGUCAGGGGUGAAAUCCCCGGGCUCAACCUGGGAAUGGCAGUGGAUACUGGCUCGCUAGAGUGUGUCAGAGGAUGGUGGAAUUCCCGGUGUAGCGGUGAAAUGCGUAGAGAUCGGGAGGAACAUCAGUGGCGAAGGCGGCCAUCUGGGACAACACUGACGCUGAGGCACGAAAGCGUGGGGAGCAAACAGGAUUAGAUACCCGAGUAGUCCCUGUCUCUUAUAA